Molecule: long non-coding RNA, 272 nt
Filed under: Phascolarctos cinereus (koala)
Lineage: Eukaryota; Metazoa; Chordata; Mammalia; Diprotodontia; Phascolarctidae
Description: lncRNA (ENSPCIG00000035955.1)
Source: RNAcentral
UUCCCACUCUGAAGAAGGGAAGAGUUUCACUUUGGAAUUAACGAAGGAGGGAAUAUUUAUUCUUUAAAUAGAAAGAAGCACCUGCCACUUUUCUACCUCAAUGGGGUCCUGACCCUUUCACUGAAAUGUGAAACUUCUCUCAGAACUGGAUUUACUUUUCUGACCCUCAUCUCCAAACUCUGUGACCUCCAGAGUCCAGCCUUCCAAAUCCUCCCUCUCAACCAUUACAGUCAUUCGAUCACCACCAUACUUCACUGAACUGGUGACUUUCA